AUUGAACGCUGGCGGCAGGCUUAACACAUGCAAGUCGAACGAGUGGCGGACGGGUGAGUAAUGCUUGGGAAUCUACCUUAUGGAGGGGGAUAACUACGGGAAACUGUAGCUAAUACCGCGUACCAUAGGAUGAGCCCAAGUGGGAUUGGGUAGUUGGUGUGGUAAAGGCUCACCAAGCCGACGAUCUCUAGCUGGUCUGAGAGGAUGACCGGCCACACUGGGACGGAGACACGGUCCAGAGUCCUACGGGAGGCAGCAGUGGGGAAUAUUGCGCAAUGGGGGCAACCCUGACGCAGCCAUGCCGCGUGUAUGAAGAAGGCCGUCGGGUUGUAAAGUACUUUCAGCGAGGAGGCGUUACUCGCAGAAGAAGCACCGGCUAACUCCGUGCCAGCAGCCGCGGUAAUUC
Molecule: ribosomal RNA, 406 nt
Filed under: uncultured bacterium
Lineage: Bacteria
Description: partial 16S ribosomal RNA
Rfam family: Bacterial small subunit ribosomal RNA
Source: RNAcentral